This is a long non-coding RNA of Microcebus murinus (gray mouse lemur), 1307 nucleotides long. The record is from Ensembl. NCBI's taxonomy places the organism in Eukaryota, Metazoa, Chordata, Mammalia, Primates, Cheirogaleidae.
GGCACCGCCUCCCCAGACCCCGCUCGUCUAAUUGCUUCCUCUGACAGUUCAGAUUCGUAGGAACAACCAUCGCGAGCCUCCGGCAGGGCCCCGGCACACGCUGUUCUUUGUGGGGAAUCCCAGAACAACAGGAUGCUGUCCUGGUGGCCUUUCUCAGUGCCUUUUCUUUGUUUAAGAUUUCAACGCUUCUUCCCCUACACAGCUUUUCCCAACAGGACCAACCCAGACAAUCCAGUUCUCCGCGGCCGGGCAAAGUCAGCCUUCCAGACACGCAAGAUUUCGCUGCCCGCCGAGCGGUUUCACGGAUAGAAGGCCGUCCACCCACCUGCGUGGUCCAGGGCUCUUUCCGGAGCUGUGUCCUCGAGCGAGAUCGCUGGGGUCCUUCCCACCCUGUCCGGAGAGACAAGCGGGGCUCUGGGACUGGAGUGAUGGCUUCUCUCUGUUCCAGAAAACUCCAAAAUUGCCUCCAGGGAAGAGCCAAGGCUCGUAUUUUUCACGGAGACCGACGGGGCCCUUCACAACCAGCAAGGGGCAGACGCCGGCUCCUCUGCCUCCGGGAAGGGAGCAGUGAUGUAUGGGAGACUCUCGCCCUGCAUCUCUUCAUCACGGGUGGUUUGCAGACCAGCCAGCCUGGCUUCUGUCGCAGGGUUCAAGCGUACCGUCUCCCAGCGAGCUCGUGAAUGCCAACACGCCUUCGCUCUCUGUAUACGUAAAAACCCUCCCUUCCCCUCCCCCCCCUUUUUUUUUUAGUGGAUAAAGCCAUUGACGUUUUUAUGGGAUUGUUUUUGGAAAAGACUAACAUGUCAUUCUAAAUGCAACAUAUGGUAGUGGUCAGAUCGUGUUCCUACUGUGUAAAAAUGCUGGGCUAAUAACCUACUGCGUUCUCUUGGCCAGGACACAGAGAAAAACUUGAUUCAUUUCACCAGUUUCCCUUAAUCUCCUUCCUUGGCUCCCAUCCUAUUCUGCAAAAGUUGAUAAAUCUUACAGCCCCCGAAGAUUACGGCCGUUCCUAAUAGUCUCUUGACGUUAGAAGGAAGCUAGGCUCCUUGGCGCAAAGUACAUCCCACAGAUGAAAUCACAUAAAUAAUUUAGUUUUCACAAUUUAAUUUUUAUAGGGUUUUUUUUUUGUUGUUGUUGUUGUUCUUGCUGUUGUUUAUGGGCCAUAAUAAGGGCUGUUGGCUUACCCCAAGGUAAAUAAAGGGGGAACAUGUUAGCAUCAAAAAUUUCAAUGUUGUUACUACCUUCCACCGUUGGCAACGCUCAAUUAUCCAUUUUCAGCCUAAGGAUGUGCUAUGUCCAUAAACGAC